GGGCCCUCAAAGCGGUCUCCACAUCCGGCGGGGUGGCGACUCCCAGGUGGUAUGGCUCACAGCAUUGCUGUACAGAACGGUACGAGAUGAGUGGUUUCGGAGAUGAAUGGAGGAUAGGGCCGGGGGAGGGAGGUGUAAUGAAUAAACACCAUCCGCCGUACAAUGUGGCUGGCGUUGGACCGGUCUUGAGAGGCCGAAGGACAUGGAAACUCAGCAACGCCGUACGUACUUUACGGGAAGGAAAUAUAUUACGAGUUUACUGUUCACGAUGGUUUGGUUAUAGUAAGGUUGUAAGAGUGUUGGCGGAUUUUGGGAGACAAGCAUGCUGGGAUUUGACUGAGGUUAUCGUAUAAGAAUACCGAAGUUUGAAUUGUACGGCGACCAAAACCCUGCCGUACUUACUCAGUACACCACUUUGGAACCACAAGCACAGGUCUGAGAAACGCCUGAUUUGGAAACACUGGGGGCGUUGGAGGCGCCAAAGCCUUUUCCGCCGCCAGCGCCUUUAGCAGGCCUGCCGGCCUGCCGCAAUUACUACUGAAAGCGGUCGCUGAAGCCGGCUGAUGCACGGUUGCAAUGCCGUCCCGCUGGACAGAAUGAGCAUCGGUUCCUCAUUGUUGAACGCAUGCGGGUUUGCGAGAUGCGUGACGACCCGAGGCUGGUUCGUGAAAGCUGCGGGACAGGCCGCUGGCCGAGUCGUUGCUCCCCGUCUG
RNAcentral lists this long non-coding RNA (713 nucleotides) under Volvox carteri. Its description in RNAcentral is "long non-coding RNA (VCAR_LNC002748)". Lineage: Eukaryota; Viridiplantae; Chlorophyta; Chlorophyceae; Chlamydomonadales; Volvocaceae. The record is from RNAcentral.